AGAAAAUUGAAGCCAAUACAGAAGUGAGGCUGGCUACAAAAGUGAGUUAAUCCCCAAAACUCCCAAUUUACAGCUAAUUAGCUUAUAGCUAAUUUCCAUCCUUCGUAUUCAUCUGGAGUGAUUUUUUAUUUUAUUUUAAAUAACUCACCUGUUUAGGUAGAUCUCAACACAGACACCUGUAGCCACUAACUGUGUGCCUCACAUUUGCUAAUCUCAAACGUGUUUGUGGUGCAAAUGAGUUUUACAGCAUUUUUCAUGGAGUUAUCUGGCAACCAGUGAGCCCUCGAUUUUGGUGAUUUCAGUUACUCAAGUAUUUUAUUUUUUGUUACUAAUUGGCAGCGAUCUGUGUGUUCCAUCUAUAAAAGCAUCUUGGUAACAAAGCUCAUUGGCUGAUAACUUAACACUCCGCCUUCUCGUCCUAAUACGGUCAUGAGGAUAAGAUGGCCAUGAUGCUAAAAUGUGAUGUAAUGGUGGCUACUUCUAUUUUCUGUACAGAAUCUGAUUUUUUUUUUUUUAAGUUGUAAUGCGUGAAAGAGUUCAAAGUUUUGUUUUUAACCUAACUUUCCUUCAUUUCUUCAGAAUGUGGGCAAGGAGCUUGUCUUUAUAUUUAUCAUCACCAAAAGACUGCUACAGCCUAGAAAUGAUCCAAAGCAUGACCUACAUGGUGCCUGAUGAUAGACUAACAGCCUGUGUGGGGUGCACCUUUCCUUUUUGCUCAGUGGCACCUGUGACACAUUCCAGCUUCCCUGUGACUAUAAAAUGGACAAGCAGUUAAGAGGAUAGAUGGAUGGGUGGAUGGCCUAUGUGACAGCUGUAUCUUUUUCUCCUUCUUCAUCUUUCAGCUGCAUCUUUAAAGGGUCACAGUAUCAUCUGCCUACAUCUGGUUGGAUUUAUUUAUUUAUGAUUUGCAUAUUUGAUUUGACAAAGAUUGUACACCCGAUCCCCUUCCUGCAGCAAACCUCCCCUUUUAUUGGAGGCUGGGCAAAGUAGGAGUACACAGGAAUGUGGCCCCUCAGUGGCUGCCUUUGCAUGACAAUGGAUAAGCCUUGUAAUUCUGGACCCCUGUAGCGACCAGAUCUCCAAUCGUUGGCAGAUUGUAAAAGGUAUGUCAUGUGCAGUGUGCAACCAAGCAUGGCACAGGGUCAGGGGUUCAAGCUAUGCUAAAACAAAGCAGUUCUAUGAGACUGGAGGUGAUGGUGCUAGUUGGCUCGUGUUUUAUCACCACAAGAUAUCCCUGUAACACAAAACACAUUUGUUAUUUUGACAUAUUUUCACAUAUGGUAA
Long non-coding RNA from Astatotilapia calliptera (eastern happy), 1284 nucleotides. NCBI's taxonomy places the organism in Eukaryota, Metazoa, Chordata, Actinopteri, Cichliformes, Cichlidae. The record is from Ensembl.